Molecule: ribosomal RNA, 119 nt
Organism: Propithecus coquereli (Coquerel's sifaka)
Lineage: Eukaryota; Metazoa; Chordata; Mammalia; Primates; Indriidae
Source: Ensembl
GUCUAUAGUCCUACCACCUUGAAUACACCUGAUCUUGUCUGAUCUUGGAAGCUAAGCAGGGUUGGGCCUCGUUAGCACUUGGAUGGGAGACCGCCUGGGAAUAUCAGGUGCUCUAGGCU